RNAcentral lists this long non-coding RNA (317 nucleotides) under Gossypium barbadense (sea-island cotton). Its description in RNAcentral is "long non-coding RNA (GBAR_LNC006169)". Lineage: Eukaryota; Viridiplantae; Streptophyta; Magnoliopsida; Malvales; Malvaceae. The record is from RNAcentral.
AGUAGCCCAAAUUUGACCAGGCUGUAAACCAAAUAAAUAUUUUAAAACAGUCCAUUUACAUUGGCCCACCAACCAGUAGACCCAAAAUCAAUUGGCCUAAACCUUAUGCCCGGUUACAACUCAACAGACCCAAACCCGUUACAUUACUGGCCCAUUUCUAAAAUCUUACUCUUAAGGCCCAUUACAACAGACCCAAAUGGACCCAAGACUAAAGUGGCCCAACUGGCCCAAACCGUUACACCGAGGCAUGAAACCCUAGGGUUUCUGCCUCUCUUUCUCCUCGCGCCGCAAGAAGAAGAUUCCAGAAGCCAUCCCAA